Molecule: transfer RNA, 95 nt
Filed under: Gammaproteobacteria bacterium
Lineage: Bacteria; Pseudomonadati; Pseudomonadota; Gammaproteobacteria
Description: tRNA-Pro
Rfam family: tRNA
About the family: Transfer RNA (tRNA) molecules are approximately 80 nucleotides in length.
Source: RNAcentral
GGAGGGUUUAGCCUAGUGGCCAAGGCACCGAGUUAGGAUCUCGGCGCGGGUAAUUAGCCUACCCGCCGCAGGUUCGAAUCCCGCACCCUCCGCCA